CUUGUGGACUGUUAUAUCAAAUGGGAGUAGCCUUUUUUCUUCAAGAGAUGAGGGCAAAAUCAGACAGGUUGAAGCAAGAA
Molecule: non-coding RNA, 80 nt
Filed under: unclassified sequences
Description: RAGATH-18 RNA
Rfam family: RAGATH-18 RNA
About the family: Actinobacteria, Firmicutes, Fusobacteria, Thermotogae (1 example). Nearby to self-cleaving ribozyme genes
Source: Rfam by way of RNAcentral